This 253-nucleotide ribosomal RNA is filed under the name uncultured bacterium. Its description in RNAcentral is "partial 16S ribosomal RNA". It matches the Rfam family "Bacterial small subunit ribosomal RNA", at positions 524 to 776 of the family's 1533-position model. RNAcentral also lists the same sequence under 1 other name. The record is from RNAcentral.
UACGGAGGGUGCAAGCGUUGUUCGGAAUUACUGGGCGUAAAGCGCGUGUAGGCGGCCUUGCAAGUCAGACGUGAAAGCCCUCGGCUUAACCGGGGAAGUGCGUCUGAAACUGCUUGGCUUGAGUACGGGAGAGGGAGGCGGAAUUCCCAGUGUAGAGGUGAAAUUCGUAGAUAUUGGGAGGAACACCGGUGGCGAAAGCGGCCUCCUGGACCGAUACUGACGCUGAGACGCGAGAGCGUGGGGAGCAAACAGG